This is a long non-coding RNA of Ipomoea nil (Japanese morning glory), 969 nucleotides long. RefSeq lists it as uncharacterized. Lineage: Eukaryota; Viridiplantae; Streptophyta; Magnoliopsida; Solanales; Convolvulaceae. The transcript has 10 exons. The record is from RefSeq and is a predicted model, not a curated record.
UUCCGCCGCUCAUCUAUUCUCACUUCUCACCUAAAAAAGCUCUCGCAUCUCUGUCUCUCACCAUCGCCGCUCAGUUCCGUUCAUCGCUCAGUCUUCUCCGUCUGGGCCUCUCCACCCGUGGCUUGUCAUCGACAUAAUAUACGGAAGAUAUUUCCUCUCUUUCUCUCCCUCUUGGAUCAGAAGCCAAAUGCUUCGUUUACUCGCAAAGCGUCAGUGAACUACACAAAGACACCUUCUCGUGAAUCUUUGUAAAACAAGAGGUAAAAUAGCUCACUUCUUGACUUCCGCGGAUCAAAUUUCUGUUGUCCAGCAACACAAACAGAAGACAGAAGACAGGGAAAGAUGAAGAACAAAAGCAGCUAAUUAAAUAAUGUUGUACACAGCCAGAAGAAACUGAGUAACACCAAGUGAAUCCCCCUCUUCUACCUCAGUGCCUCUGAUGUUGAUAAUUUAAACAAUCCAUUGGCUGUAGACAACAAUCCUUAGCUAAAGCCUUGUAACCCAGCUGUUGGUGGGCUUGCAAAGUCACAGCUCGUACCUGAAGUGGACGCAUUAGGUGGUGAAAUUGGAAAGGUAGCUGACAGCUUUGGAUUUCUUUUUCUUGCUCCUUUGUGGAAGCUUGGCUGGGUGCUGUAUCAACAUCCAUAGACUCAUCUACAUCUCCAGUAGAGACUAAAGAGCAAGAUCAAGGAUCUAGAGUCAGAAAAUGAGCUUCUCCACACUCAAAGAGUAGUUGUAGAGCAUGUAGCAAACUCAAACCAAGCAGAUUCAGCAUUAAAGCAAAUUGAAAACCGAUACCAAGUUCAUGAAGAUGUGAAGACAGAGGAAGUACAACAAGUGACAAAAGUGGAGCAACAAAUAAUAAAGAUAGGCAGCAUGCAAGUAGUAGAAACAUAUGAGAAGAAGAAAGAAGAAAGUAGCACAAAAGAUAUCUAAGCUGCCUAAUAGUGAAAAUGCCUAAUCUGCAGA